GAUGAACGCUGGCGGCGUGCCUAAUACAUGCAAGUCGAGCGAAUGGAUUAAGAGCUUGCUCUUAUGAAGUUAGCGGCGGACGGGUGAGUAACACGUGGGUAACCUGCCCAUAAGACUGGGAUAACUCCGGGAAACCGGGGCUAAUACCGGAUAACAUUUUGAACCGCAUGGUUGGAAAUUGAAAGGCGGUGUCGGCUGUUACUUAUGGAUGGACCCGCGUCGCAUUAGCUAGUUGGUGAGGUAACGGCUCACCAAGGCAACGAUGCGUAGCCGACCUGAGAGGGUGAUCGGCCACACUGGGACUGAGACACGGCCCAGACUCCUACGGGAGGCAGCAGUAGGGAAUCUUCCGCAAUGGACGAAAGUCUGACGGAGCAACGCCGCGUGAGUGAUGAAGGCUUUCGGGUCGUAAAACUCUGUUGUUAGGGAAGAACAAGUGCUAGUUGAAUAAGCUGGCACCUUGACGGUACCUAACCAGAAAGCCACGGCUAACUACGUGCCAGCAGCCGCCGUAA
RNAcentral lists this ribosomal RNA (515 nucleotides) under uncultured bacterium. RNAcentral describes it as "partial 16S ribosomal RNA". It matches the Rfam family "Bacterial small subunit ribosomal RNA", at positions 28 to 523 of the family's 1533-position model. The record is from RNAcentral.